RNAcentral lists this ribosomal RNA (301 nucleotides) under uncultured bacterium. RNAcentral describes it as "partial 16S ribosomal RNA". It matches the Rfam family "Bacterial small subunit ribosomal RNA", at positions 509 to 807 of the family's 1533-position model. The record is from RNAcentral.
CAGUAGCCGCGGUAAUACGAAGGGGGCUAGAGUUGUUCGGAAUUACUGGGCGUAAAGCGCACGUAGGCGGAUAUUUAAGUCAGGGGUGAAAUCCCAGAGCUCAACUCUGGAACUGCCUUUGAUACUGGGUAUCUUGAGUAUGGAAGAGGUGAGUGGAAUUCCGAGUGUAGAGGUGAAAUUCGUAGAUAUUCGGAGGAACACCAGUGGCGAAGGCGGCUCACUGGUCCAUUACUGACGCUGAGGUGCGAAAGCGUGGGGAGCAAACAGGAUUAGAUACCCGCGUAGUCCCUGUCUCUUAUAC